UAUAAUAUACUGCUACCACUAAAUCGCACGAGCAUAAACCUCCACUUGCUACAACUUUCGAUGCUACCAAGUAUGUUGGCAACAUACAAUCGCUGACUCGAAAUUAUUGUAAACUUAAAUAAGGCUAGACAAAAAUUCAACUGGCAUUAUCAGCAAACUGCUCGCAAUUUAUUUGACUCAUUUUAAAAAAAGUAUAAAAUACUAAUGCAUUAAAUUAUCGUUUUUUUAAUAGAUUAGUGACUAUUUUUCAUGAUAGCAACAAAUACACAUGUAACAUUUUAUGUCCGACUUAAUCACUGUAUGCAAAUACAUAACAUCAGUUCGAUGUACAACUGUUCAUAAUUUGACAUCUUUCUACAUUACUAAGUCACCAUCUCGUACUGUUACUAUCAGCCAUCUGUAUUUAAAGGAAACAACAUUAAAUGCAACUGACUAAAUACAAAUCUGUCUCAAACAUCCACUAGAAAUAAAUACAGUCAUUAUUAACAUCAUUUGACUCUUAACUAUACCGGAAAUAAUAUUCAAUCGAAAUACUUUUCGACUCGAAAGAACUGGUUGUUAGGACGAAAAGAUGGCACCCCAAUUUACUAAAAUCAGUGAAUUUAGCGUUUAUCCUCACGGCAGUAAUGAGUGCCAUCUAUACUUGGGAGCUUGUAGGUUAGACAGAGGUUGUUUGCCUGUUAAAAUCAAAGAUUAUUGUUUAUAUAACACUAUUAUUACGAUAAAUGUUUAUAAUCAUUUUUAAUGGAAAAUUAAUAUAAUUUAACAGACAAUAACUUGACGAUAUUGAAAUGGAAGACUUAUUUAAUAAAUUUGACUUUCACAACCCAUUUGAUGGAUUAAGGAGGUUCAUCGGUAGCAGUAGUUCGCAAUGUUUAGAAAGAUUUCUCCCGUGUGAAACAUUCUAACUACAAUAAGAAGUGUUUGAGACAGUGCAGCCAGAUCGCGGACGAAAAGUUCCCCUUCCCAAGCACUGUUUAAGCUGUAAGUGAUGCUAAAAUGGUGCGAAAAAGGGGGAAUUUUCGUCCGCGUUCUGGCUGCACUGGUUUGAAAUACACUACGCUUUUGCGCAUCCUCUUAUAUGCGCAGAAGUAAAAAAAUGAUCCCAUUGCGUCUUUUUUCAGACUUAGCUACGUUGCAUUCUAACUAGUCUUGGGCCUAAUCGGUCACCACUGAGAGCGCUCAAUUUAGUUCAUAAUCCAAUGGCGAACUAGUUCGUUCUUUUAGUUCAUUAGUUCUUUUGUUUAAAUAAUUUAAUAAAAACAAUAAAUAGGAAAAAAAUAUAUUUAUGAUUAAUGCUGGUUCUGUUUAUUUAUGGAACAUAAAAUUUUUUAUUUAAAUAAGAAUGAAAAAAUAAAAGAAUUUAUAUUAAUAAUUAGUCAACAGCUAGUCUCGUUUCUAGUAUAAUGCGUAAUUAUAUUACAAUACUUAAAAAAUGCUAAUUAUUACAAUUAAAGUUGACAUUUUUUUAUAGCACAUCAAAUCUUUUACUUAAGUAAAAAUGAAAAAAUUCAAUAAUUUAUAUUAAUCAUUAGUCAACAGCUAGUCUCGUUGAGUAAUGAUCUAAUAUAUAAAAAUAGUCUCUCGCAAUAUCAAGGCGCGCACAGAAAAAGUAAAUAACUCGGUUGGUCACAUAGCGCCAGUGUCUAGUUAAACCGACGCUAAAAAAAAUAUAAAAAGAACUAAGAGCGAGAUCAUCGACGAACUAGUUCGCAUAGUUCACCUAAAGGAGCGCUCUUCCGACCUAGGUCGUUCGCGAACUACCCAAGACUAAUUCUAACUUAGAAUAUUUUUCCCCUUGGACAUGUGUUGUAGAAAGUGUUUUGAAUAAUUUCGAGGUUAUACAUAGUUGGAGACAACAAAUAAUAAAUAAUAAUGACUUCGCGAUUAAAUUUAAAAAAUUUUAAAUUUGAAAAAUAAUUUAUAAUUAUUAUAAUCUGUUGGGCUUCCUCUGUGUUUUAAACUCUCCGCGCACUGCAACGUUGCCAAGUCACUAUCUCUCACUUGUCAGGUUAUAGGAGAAAGCUUGAAAAUCAUUAAAAGUAACAAACUUUAAAAAUUAAUUACAAAAAAAUGAAUACCGCUCGUUUAUGUUUUUAUUGAAAAAAAUUACUUCUUAUAAAUUGAAUUAAUAAUUUUCAGCUUUUAAAAAAAUGUUGUAAGAAAAGUAUGAUUGUUAUUUCAUAAAAUGCUCACUCUAACUAUGGUCAACAUAAGGAAUGCAUGUUGUUAAAUGUACGAUUUUUAAUUGUUAAUAUUUCAAAAUUUAGUACCGCAAGAACUAUUUUAAAAAAUUCCUACGUAUACAGGACACUUCAAAGUAUUUGUAUUUAAAAAUUGAAAGAUAUUGUAAGAAAAGUGAUUAUCCGAGGAACCUCCUUAAAGAAUUUAAAUCAAUGUAUCUAAAGAAUGCAGUGAAUAUGUAGAGCCUGAAGAAAUACCACUUGGUUACAGAAUGAAGAACGUAUUUGAUCGAAAAACUCGUAUAUGUUGAUUUUAUUUUCAUUAACGGCUUACUAUAUGAUCAUGAUAUAAAUAUUUGUAUUUUUUAAUGUGCAUUAAUCAAUAAAUACUGAUUUUUCUCCGCAUCAAAAACUGAA
Molecule: long non-coding RNA, 2600 nt
Organism: Microplitis demolitor
Lineage: Eukaryota; Metazoa; Arthropoda; Insecta; Hymenoptera; Braconidae
Exons: 2
Source: RefSeq, a predicted model, not a curated record